GGCGAGCAUAGCUCAGAGGUAGAGCGCUGGUCUGUGGAUCCAAAGGUCGCGAGUUCGAAUCUCGCUGUUCGCC
Molecule: transfer RNA, 73 nt
Filed under: Ankistrodesmus falcatus
Lineage: Eukaryota; Viridiplantae; Chlorophyta; Chlorophyceae; Sphaeropleales; Selenastraceae
Description: tRNA-His
Rfam family: tRNA
About the family: Transfer RNA (tRNA) molecules are approximately 80 nucleotides in length.
Source: RNAcentral